AGGACGAACGCUGGCGGCGUGCUUAACACAUGCAAGUCGAGCGGAAAGGCCCUUCGGGGUACUCGAGCGGCGAACGGGUGAGUAACACGUGAGUAAUCUGCCCCUAGCUCUGGGGAUAGCUCCGGGAAACCGGGAUUAAUACCGGAUAUGACCACUUUAGACAUCUGUUGUGGUGGAAAGAAUUUCGGCUAGGGAUGAGCUCGCGGCCUAUCAGCUUGUUGGUGGGUAACGGCCUACCAAGGCGACGACGGGUA
This 254-nucleotide ribosomal RNA is filed under the name uncultured bacterium. RNAcentral describes it as "partial small subunit ribosomal RNA". It matches the Rfam family "Bacterial small subunit ribosomal RNA", at positions 26 to 285 of the family's 1533-position model. The record is from RNAcentral.